AAGGGAUGAUCUUUUAGAUGACGAGUCUGAAUACGUCGGCGUGAGGUUUCCUCUCGUCGAUCUUCCUUGAUGAUACAUCUUUUAAAUACCAUUCAUGCAUAUCUGACU
RNAcentral lists this small nucleolar RNA (108 nucleotides) under Phanerochaete chrysosporium RP-78. The record is from RNAcentral. Lineage: Eukaryota; Fungi; Basidiomycota; Agaricomycetes; Polyporales; Phanerochaetaceae.